Molecule: ribosomal RNA, 742 nt
Filed under: uncultured bacterium
Lineage: Bacteria
Description: bacterial SSU rRNA
Rfam family: Bacterial small subunit ribosomal RNA
Source: RNAcentral
AGAGUUUGAUCAUGGCUCAGAACGAACGCUGGCGGCAGGCCUAACACAUGCAAGUCGAGCGCACCCUUCGGGGCGAGCGGCGGACGGGUUAGUAACGCGUGGGAAUAUACCCUUCACUACGGAAUAGCCUCGGGAAACUGAGAGUAAUACCGUAUACGCCCUUCGGGGGAAAGAUUUAUCGGUGAUGGAUUAGCCCGCGUCUGAUUAGAUAGUUGGUGGGGUAAUGGCCUACCAAGUCUACGAUCAGUAGCUGGUUUUAGAGGAUGAUCAGCAACACUGGGACUGAGACACGGCCCAGACUCCUACGGGAGGCAGCAGUGGGGAAUCUUAGACAAUGGGCGAAAGCCUGAUCUAGCCAUGCCGCGUGUGUGAUGAAGGCCUUAGGGUCGUAAAGCACUUUCGCCAGGGAUGAUAAUGACAGUACCUGGUAAAGAAACCCCGGCUAACUCCGUGCCAGCAGCCGCGGUAAUACGGAGGGGGUUAGCGUUGUUCGGAAUUACUGGGCGUAAAGCGCACGUAGGCGGAUCAGAAAGUUGGGGGUGAAAUCCCAGGGCUCAACCCUGGAACUGCCCUCAAAACUCCUGGUCUUGAGUUCGAGAGAGGUGAGUGGAAUUCCAAGUGUAGAGGUGAAAUUCGUAGAUAUUUGGAGGAACACCAGUGGCGAAGGCGGCUCACUGGCUCGAUACUGACGCUGAGGUGCGAAAGUGUGGGGAGCAAACAGGAUUAGAUACCCUGGUAGUCC